RNAcentral lists this long non-coding RNA (1287 nucleotides) under Sus scrofa (pig). RNAcentral's name for it is "lncRNA (ENSSSCG00070012146.1)". The record is from RNAcentral. Lineage: Eukaryota; Metazoa; Chordata; Mammalia; Artiodactyla; Suidae.
ACAGUGACUGUGUGUCCCCCUAGAAACACACGACAAUGUUGUGGAGGCCAGUGGGAGUGAGAAGACCGAAGAGGAGGCCCCAGCCAGGGAAAAUGAGGAGGAGGAAGGCUCGCCCAAUAACAAGGUGGAGGAGGAGGCCACAACAAGUGGAAAUAACGAGGAGGAGUCCCCAGCCAGCGACAGGGCCGAGCAAGAAGCCCAGACUGCCCCCAAGGUGGACGGGAUGGACGAUGAAAGCCGUAAGUAUUCUGGAACCCGGCUCUGCUGAGGAGAAGUCCAGGUGUUGAGGAAGGGCGGGGGGUGCUUUCCUGCCCCUUUGGUUGCAGAGACACCCUGAUUCUGGGUUCCUCCUGGGAAAGGGGGUGAAGGAUGGGGUGAAAGAGACUGACUUCCCACAAAAGGGCCAUCCCAAGUCCUCGGGUCCCUGGAGGAAAGGAGGCUCUUUGUAUGGUGGGGGUAGGUGUCCGGGAACAUUGGGGGGUGUGCGUGUGAGGGCCUGUUGGUGUGAUUGUGAACCAGUGUGAGUGGGUGUGUUUUGUGGGGAGUCACUUGUGCCUUAGCACCACAUAGCUGUCCAGUUUCUCGUUGAACAGUCUCAUGAUGACCGCAGGCUAACUGUCCAUUCCCUCAUUCUCCCUGCACCCGCUGGGAGCAAGGUUUGGGGAAAAGGCUUUCCUUCCUCUGUUGGUCUUUCGUUUCCUCUUUUCUUCCCCCUCUGCUUGGUGCAGACUUUCAUGCUGUUGUUUCAAAUAUGUGCCGUGAACUCGAGCCUCUUGAGGUUGUAAGUGUCCCGAGGAGUGUUGUGAACGCUGUGCUCCCCCCGCACCUCCUGCCCACUCGGGGCAGCCACCCUUCCAGCCUCUGCUCAGGAGUGGUCUUUCAGACACCUCAUGUGCAUGACAUCAGAGAGUCUUUGUCCUUCUGUGUCUGACUGGCUUCACUUGAAGUGAUGUCCUCCAGCGAGUUCCUGUUGAGGCUCAGAGCUCAUGAACCUGACCAGUACCUAUGAGGACACGGGUUCGACCCUUGGCCUUGCUCAGUGGGUGAAGAAUCCCGCAUUGCGGUGAGCUGCGGCAGAGGUCCCAGACGCGGCUGGUAUCCAGCUUGGCUGUGGCUGUGGUGUCGGCCGGUGGCCACAGCUCUGAUUUGCCGCCUCGCCUGGGAAUUUCCAUCUGCUGCGGGGGCAGCCCUCAAGCCCAAAAGUGAAUCAGUCAAUAAUGUCCUGGAGUUCUCUGUGCAUUGCUGCAAUGGGUAGGGUUUCCUUCUUCUGUGACAACGGAAUACCUU